UACGGAGGAUCCAAGCGUUAUCCGGAUUUAUUGGGUUUAAAGGGUGCGUAGGCGGCCUAUUAGGUCAGUGGUGAAAGCCUGGAGCUUAACUCCAGAACUGCCAUUGAUACUGAUGGGCUUGAGUACAGUUGAGGUAGGCGGAAUGUGUCAUGUAGCGGUGAAAUGCUUAGAUAUGACACAGAACACCGAUUGCGAAGGCAGCUUGCUAAACUGUAACUGACGCUGAGGCACGAAAGCGUGGGUAGCAAACAGG
This 253-nucleotide ribosomal RNA is filed under the name uncultured prokaryote. Its description in RNAcentral is "partial 16S ribosomal RNA". It matches the Rfam family "Bacterial small subunit ribosomal RNA", at positions 524 to 776 of the family's 1533-position model. The record is from RNAcentral.